Molecule: RNA transcript, 2910 nt
Organism: Abrus precatorius (Indian licorice)
Lineage: Eukaryota; Viridiplantae; Streptophyta; Magnoliopsida; Fabales; Fabaceae
Exons: 20
Source: RefSeq, a predicted model, not a curated record
GUUGAAACCGUCACGGUCUCGAACAGGGUGGUGCGAGAAUGGCGCGACCAACGAUUCAGAAUGAGAAAGUUGAGUUCUCUUCGUUUCACUCUUUCAGUCUCUCGACUCUCUCUCUCUCGCCAUUUCCAUUUAUCUAUUGAAACCGAAACCCUAACGCGAAAUCGAUGUGGAAGUGGUUCACGAAGGGGGCAGAGGCGCCACCGCCGGUGGUGCUCGUUCCUCCUCUCUUCGAUUUUCCUCCCCUUGCCGCUCGCAACCGCAUGCUUCACUCCUCCUACGAUGUCGUUUUCGGAAAACUCGCUCUUCGAUGCCUCUUCCAAGACUAUUUCCACCAAGCGAGGCAUUUCACUACCACUAUCAUGCUCAAGCCUAUUGACGAUCCUCACGUCGACCUCGUCGCAACCGUUGCAGGUCCGGUUGAUCGUAAGCCGGAAGACAAUAUUGCAGGAAAUGCGUUGUUUCGGUGGCAGAGUGAUGUUAACGAUCCUCAUACGUUCAUGGACCUUUAUGUAUCCACAAUUGAUCCGAUUUUACAGAUGAGAUCGUGUGCUUACUAUCCCAAAUAUGGAUUUGGGGCUUUUGGAGUGUUCCCUUUGCUGUUGAAGAAAAGAGAAUCCUCCCAAGAUUAUGGCCUGAUGGGAUUGAGAUAUGGUUCUGGCAAUCUGUCCUUUGGAGUCACACUUAUGCCUUUUGCCAUGAAAGAUGAAUUACCAAAGAGUGCAUGGCUGGUAAGCAAGAUAGGAAGGGUGACUGCUGGGGUGCAGUAUGAGCCACAGCAAGGAAAUGCAAAACUUUCAAAUUUGAUGAACUGGAGUUGUGCCAUGGGUUAUGGUGUGGGAUCAGGCAGCCCCUUGAGUCCAUCCUUCAAUUUCAGCCUUGAGCUCGUUAAAAGCUCUCAGUUUAUUGCCUCAUUCUAUCAACAUAUGGUUGUUCAAAGAAGGGUGAAGAACCCCUUUGAAGAGAAUGUUGUCGUUGGAAUUACAAACUACAUUGAUUUUGGGUUUGAGUUACAAACAAGUGUUGAUGAUGCCUUUGCAGCUAACAACAUUGCAGACUCCACCUUUCAGAUAGGUGCAUCCUGGCAGGCCAAUAAAAAUUUAUUGCUGAAGGCAAAGGUUGGACCUCGUAGCUCAUCAAUGGCAUUUGCAUUCAAGUCAUGGUGGAAACCUUCUUUCACUUUCAGCGUUUCAGCCACCAGAGAUCGUGCUGAUGGUAAAAUGCAAUAUGGAUUUGGCAUCCAAAGUGAGAGUCUAAGAGAUGCCAGCUAUCAAAGAGCUGAUCCCAAUUUUGUAAUGCUAACGCCAAGCAAGGAGCACCUAGCAGAAGGCAUUGUCUGGGAAACAGGGAAGCGACCUAUGCUACAAGCUGACAUAAAUGCCGGACAUUUUGAUGGCUUGCCCAGAGAAUUACAACCUCUUGAUAAAAUUUUGUGAUUCAUUUUAUUAGCUUUAUUUUUUCUCUUGCCGAUAACGACACUAUUUCUUGUAGGAGUGGCCAGUGGAAAAUUGGAAAUGCUUUCAUAAGAAUGUAGUCUAGGGCAUUGCAUUCAAUCGGUAACUAGAAUGUUUAGCCUGUUUGCAUUGACAUUUCAGUAUCUACAAUCGAUUUUCAGUUUAGAACAGACGACGGAGUUGCUUUUAGCACGAAAAGCGAAGCCUGUUAAGCAGCAGCGAUUCUUUGUUCCUUUUGGAGGAAUCGAUUAUUGCUAGCAUUAUAGAAACAAGCCAGCUCUUUAAUUACAUGCUGCACUUUUUUAUGGCAGGAUGCGUUCACGUUGGACGUGUUGGAGGUUCCUCAGGGAUCUGGGUCUGGCUUUGUUUGGGACAAGAAGGGUCAUAUUGUGACCAAUUAUCACGUUAUUCGCGGUGCUUCUGAUCUCAGUUAUGUGCAGGGUCACUCUUGCUGACCAGUCAACUUACGAUGCCACAGUUGUUGGUUUUGACCAAGAUAAGGAUGUUGCUGUGCUGCGCGUUGAUGCUCCCAAGGACAAACUCAGGCCUAUACCUAUUGGGAUCUCUGCUGACUUGCUUGUUGGUCAGAAAGUGUAUGCUAUUGGGAAUCCGUUUGGACUUGACCACACUCUUACAACUGGUGUCAUCAGUGGACUUCGGCGAGAAAUAAGUUCUGCUGCAACUGGUCGUCCAAUUCAAGAUGUUAUACAGACAGAUGCAGCAAUUAAUCCUGGUAACAGUGGAGGGCCACUCUUAGAUAGUUCUGGAAACCUCAUUGGGAUUAACACAGCUAUAUAUUCCCCUUCUGGUGCAUCCUCUGGUGUUGGAUUUUCUAUUCCAGUGGACACUGUAAAUGGCAUUGUUGAUCAAUUGGUGAAGUUCGGGAAGGUUACAAGACCUAUUUUAGGGAUCAAGUUUGCUCCAGAUCAGUCUGUUGAGCAGUUGGGGGUUAGUGGAGUGCUUGUCUUAGAUGCUCCUGCCAAUGGUCCAGCUGGAAAAGCGGGCUUGCUACCAACAAAGCGUGACACCUAUGGUAGACUCAUUUUAGGUGACAUCAUAACAUCAGUGAAUGGUAAGAAGGUUACUAAUGGGAGUGAUUUGUACAGAAUUCUUGACCAGUGUAAAGUGGGUGAUAAGGUGAUUGUGGAGGUGUUGCGAGGUGACCACAAGGAGAAGAUCCCUGUCAUAUUGGAGCCAAAGGCUGAUGAAUCAUGAUGAUAUGCAACACAUCAUAUCCUGCAUGUAUAUAUAUUUCAUAUGCCAGGGAAUGAGUGCAGCUGUUUUAAGUGUAUUCUUAGGUUGUUUCUUGCUUCAUAAGAUGUCCAACUGUACAUAAUAAGUACUAUGGGACUGGCAGCACAUCACCCUCUAACUUUCUCAUUAUUCAAGUCACUACAACUUGCCACAUGUAUUUGCCCCAACACAAAUUGCUAUUCAGAUGAAGCAUGAUCAAUUUAUG